AAGUCGUAACAAGGUUUCCGUAGGUGAACCUGCGGAAGGAUCAUCAAAUGAUACUUUUGUAUUAUGAUAACCUGUGGUCAUAUGUGACAUGUUCUAAUUCUAUGAGUUAGAAUCUUUUUAAACCAAACUAAUAUCAGAGAUGGAAUAUGUUAUUAACAGAAAUAACUAUCAACCACGGAUCUCUAGGCUCUU
RNAcentral lists this unclassified non-coding RNA (192 nucleotides) under fungal sp. Its description in RNAcentral is "partial internal transcribed spacer region". The stretch from base 1 to 46 matches the Rfam family "Eukaryotic small subunit ribosomal RNA", at positions 1786 to 1831 of the family's 1831-position model. Lineage: Eukaryota; Fungi. The record is from RNAcentral.